Molecule: ribosomal RNA, 253 nt
Filed under: uncultured bacterium
Lineage: Bacteria
Description: partial 16S ribosomal RNA
Rfam family: Bacterial small subunit ribosomal RNA
Source: RNAcentral
UACGAAGGGAUCUAGCGUUGUUCGGAUUUACUGGGCGUAAAGGGCGCGUAGGCGGUCAAGUAAGUAAGAUGUGAAAGCCCCAAGCUUAACUUGGGAACAGCAUUUUAAACUGCUUGGCUAGAGUAUGGGAGAGGUUAGUGGAAUUUCCAGUGUAGAGGUGAAAUUCGUAGAUAUUGGAAAGAACACCAGUGGCGAAGGCGACUAACUGGACCAUAACUGACGCUGAGGCGCGAAAGCGUGGGGAGCAAACAGG